This 406-nucleotide ribosomal RNA is filed under the name uncultured bacterium. Its description in RNAcentral is "partial 16S ribosomal RNA". It matches the Rfam family "Bacterial small subunit ribosomal RNA", at positions 28 to 526 of the family's 1533-position model. The record is from RNAcentral.
GACGAACGCUGGCGGCGUGCCUAAUACAUGCAAGUAGAACGAGUUGCGACCGGGUGAGUAACGCGUGGUAACCUGCCUCAUAGCAGGGGAUAACUACUGGAAACGGUAGCUAAUACCGCAUACCAUCGGUUGUGCCCCGAUGGGAUUUGCUAGUAGGGGGGGUAACGGCUCACCUCGUCGCCGAUCCAUAUCUGGUCUGAGAGGAUGACCAGCGACACUGGAACUGAUACAAGGGCCAGACGCCUACGUGAGGCAGCAGUGGGGAAUAUUGCACAAUGGGCGCAAGCCUGAUGCAGCCAUGCCGCGUGUAUGAAGAAGGCCGUCGGGGUGUAAAGUACUGUCAGCGAGGAGGCGUUACGCGCAGAAGAAGCACCGGCUAACUCCGUGCCAGCAGCCGCGGUAAUAC